CCUACGGUAGGCAGCAGUGGGGAAUAUUGGUCAAUGGGCGCAAGCCUGACCCAGCAACGCCGCGUGAAGGAAGAUGGCCUUCGGGUUGUAAACUUCUUUUAUGCGGGAAGAGCAGAAGUCGGUACUUCCUGAAUAAGCCACGGCUAACUACGGGCCAGCAGCCGCGGUAAUCCGUCGGUGGCAGGCGUUGUCCGGAUUUACUGGUUGUAAAGGGUGUGUAGGCGGGAAGACAAGUCAGGCGUGAAAUCCCGCGGCUCAAGCGCGGAACUGCAUUUGAAACUGUUUUUCUUGAGUACCGGAGAGGUGAUCGGAAUUCCUGGUGUAGCGGUGAAAUGCGUAGAUAUAAGGAAGAACACCAGUGGCGAAGGCGGAUGACGGGACGGCAACUGACGGUGAGGCGCGAAAGCGUGGGGAGCAAACAGGAUUAGAUACCCCUGUAGUC
RNAcentral lists this ribosomal RNA (442 nucleotides) under uncultured bacterium. RNAcentral's name for it is "partial 16S ribosomal RNA". It matches the Rfam family "Bacterial small subunit ribosomal RNA", at positions 338 to 795 of the family's 1533-position model. The record is from RNAcentral.